UUUGAUCCUCGGCUCAGAGCGAACGCUGGCGGGCAGGGCUUAACACAUGCAAGUCGAGCGGACCUUUCGGGGUCAGCGGCGGGCGGGUGAGUAACGCGUGGGAACGUGCCUUCCGGUUCGGAAUAACCCUGGGAAACUAGGGCUAAUACCGGAUACGCCCUUAUGGGGAAAGGUUUACUGCCGGAAGAUCGGCCCGCGUCUGAUUAGCUAGUUGGUGGGGUAACGGCCUACCAAGGCGACGAUCAGUAGCUGGUCUGAGAGGAUGAUCAGCCACACUGGGACUGAGACACGGCCCAGACUCCUACGGGAGGCAGCAGUGGGGAAUAUUGGACAAUGGGCGCAAGCCUGAUCCAGCCAUGCCGCGUGAGUGAUGAAGGCCUUAGGGUUGUAAAGCUCUUUUAUCCGGGACGAUAAUGACGGUACCGGANGAAUAAGCCCCGGCUAACUUCGUGCCAGCCGCCGCGGUA
RNAcentral lists this ribosomal RNA (467 nucleotides) under Streptomyces sp. WAC 01420. Its description in RNAcentral is "bacterial SSU rRNA". It matches the Rfam family "Bacterial small subunit ribosomal RNA", at positions 12 to 522 of the family's 1533-position model. The record is from RNAcentral. Lineage: Bacteria; Bacillati; Actinomycetota; Actinomycetes; Kitasatosporales; Streptomycetaceae.